This is a long non-coding RNA of Solanum tuberosum (potato), 396 nucleotides long. RefSeq lists it as uncharacterized. Lineage: Eukaryota; Viridiplantae; Streptophyta; Magnoliopsida; Solanales; Solanaceae. The transcript is spliced from 2 exons. The record is from RefSeq and is a predicted model, not a curated record.
AAUUUCUGAUGCUUUAAUGAAAGAACAAUGUACUUCACGUGUUCAAAUGUUCAGCAUUCAAUUGACCAGCUUUUGGCAGGAGUGUCAAAUAUAGAUAGUUGAAUGUGAUUCUUUAUUUGUUGUCGUAGUCCUUGUAGGAGUGCAAUUGUAGUUGGCUUGCUGGUGACGAAUCCCUUACUUUUACUGUUGAUAAAACUUAUGUGACUAAAGUGAAAUCUUUCUUUUUGCAAUGGAAGGCAAGGUCGAGUAAUAAACUUAUUGUUUUGGACUUCAACAUAAGGUCGAGUAAUAAACUUAUUGUUUUGGACUUCAACAUAAGGUCGAGUAAUAAACUUAUUGUUUUGGACUUCAACAUAAGGUCGAGUAAUAAACUUAUUGUUUUGGACUUCAACAUAA